GACGAACGCUGGCGGCGUGCUUAACACAUGCAAGUCGAACGGAAAGGCCCUGCUUUUGUGGGGUGCUCGAGUGGCGAACGGGUGAGUAACACGUGAGUAACCUGCCCUUGACUUUGGGAUAACUUCAGGAAACUGGGGCUAAUACCGGAUAGGAGCUCCUGCUGCAUGGUGGGGGUUGGAAAGUUUCGGCGGUUGGGGAUGGACUCGCGGCUUAUCAGCUUGUUGGUGGGGUAGUGGCUUACCAAGGCUUUGACGGGUAGCCGGCCUGAGAGGGUGACCGGCCACAUUGGGACUGAGAUACGACCCAGACUCGUAGUGGAGGCAGCAGUGCAGAAUAUUACACAAUGGGCGGAAGCCUGAUGCAGCAACGCCGCGUGCGGGAUGACGGCCUUCGGGUUGUAAACCGCUUUCGCCUGUGACGAAGCGUGAGUGACGGUAAUGGGUAAAGAAGCACCGGCUAACUACGUG
RNAcentral lists this ribosomal RNA (468 nucleotides) under uncultured bacterium. RNAcentral's name for it is "partial 16S ribosomal RNA". It matches the Rfam family "Bacterial small subunit ribosomal RNA", at positions 28 to 507 of the family's 1533-position model. The record is from RNAcentral.